Molecule: ribosomal RNA, 23 nt
Filed under: Pestalotiopsis funerea
Lineage: Eukaryota; Fungi; Ascomycota; Sordariomycetes; Amphisphaeriales; Sporocadaceae
Also listed under: 1 other name
Description: partial 18S ribosomal RNA
Source: RNAcentral
CGUGGUGACGCGGAGGGAUCAUU